ACUGAUACUCAGAGCCCUCUGCCU
This 24-nucleotide non-coding RNA is filed under the name Arabidopsis thaliana (thale cress). The record is from RNAcentral. Lineage: Eukaryota; Viridiplantae; Streptophyta; Magnoliopsida; Brassicales; Brassicaceae.